RNAcentral lists this ribosomal RNA (575 nucleotides) under uncultured eukaryote. Its description in RNAcentral is "bacterial SSU rRNA". It matches the Rfam family "Eukaryotic small subunit ribosomal RNA", at positions 26 to 550 of the family's 1831-position model. The record is from RNAcentral.
UACAAUAUGCUUGUUUAAGAGACUAAGCCAUGCAAUUGUAGGAACAAAAAAUCUGAGAACGGCUCAAUAAAACAGUUGUAACUCUGUAACGUUGUUGUUAUGGUACCCCCAUAAUGGAUAACCCACAUAACUUGCGGGAUAAUACAUGUCUAUAUUUGUGCAAUGCACUCAGAAUAACCUUUCUUGGAUUUGAGGUUAUUACAGCGCUCUCUCACGGGAGUGUGCUGUACUCUGGUUUACUGUGAAAGCAGAUUUUGUAGUUUGUAGGUCGUUGAUAGCGGCCGAGACUCUACUCAAGACAGAGACAACGUUAUGGGCUUCUUACCUAUCAGCCUUUGAUGUGCACCUUUAGUGUUCACAUGGCUGCAACGGGUCCGAAGGAUCAUCGUCUGAUUUCGGAGAGGGAGCGUGAGAAGAGGCUAUCACAUCUAAGGACGGCAGCAGGCGCGCAAACUACCCAAUUUCAAUUCGAAGAGGUGGUGACAAGGAAUAACGACCUUCGUCCUAUAGGCGGAGGGUAUUUCGCAAGAGAUUUGUAAUGGUUGCAUGUUAAAUCUUUGUGAGAUUAACAAUUA